Molecule: ribosomal RNA, 600 nt
Filed under: uncultured bacterium
Lineage: Bacteria
Description: bacterial SSU rRNA
Rfam family: Bacterial small subunit ribosomal RNA
Source: RNAcentral
ACGAAAGCGUGGGUAGCAAACAGGAUUAGAUACCCUGGUAGUCCACGCCGUAAACGAUGAUAACUAGCCGUUGGGAGGAUUUACCUCUUAGUGGCGAAAGCUAACGCGUUAAGUUAUCCGCCUGGGGAGUACGGCCGCAAGGUUAAAACUCAAAGGAAUUGACAGGGACCCGCACAAGCGGUGGAGCAUGUGGUUUAAUUCGAUGCAACGCGAAGAACCUUACCUGGUCUUGACAUACAGAGAACUUUCUAGAGAUAGAUUGGUGCCUUCGGGAACUUUGAUACAGGUGCUGCAUGGCUGUCGUCAGCUCGUGUCGUGAGAUGUUGGGUUAAGUCCCGUAACGAGCGCAACCCUUAUCCUUAUUUGCCAGCACAUCAUGGUGGGAACUAUAGGGAGACUGCCGGUGAUAAACCGGAGGAAGGCGGGGACGACGUCAAGUCAUCAUGGCCCUUACGACCAGGGCUACACACGUGCUACAAUGGGAAGGACAAAGGGUUGCUAAGCCGCGAGGUGGUGCUAAUCUCAUAAACCUUUUCGUAGUCCGGAUCGGAGUCUGCAACUCGACUCCGUGAAGUCGGAAUCGCUAGUAAUCGUGGUCAG